This 372-nucleotide ribosomal RNA is filed under the name Triticum aestivum (bread wheat). RNAcentral describes it as "partial small subunit ribosomal RNA". Lineage: Eukaryota; Viridiplantae; Streptophyta; Magnoliopsida; Poales; Poaceae. The record is from RNAcentral.
AUGCCGAUCGCCGUCUCAGGCCAGAUCGGCAAUCUUGGUGUAAAACGGUCUGGCGUGGUUGGGGAGAAGAUCGAAGAUGACACGAAAGCCAACAAGAGUGCUAGCAUGGUGUCGGCGGCAUCGGCAAGACCACUCGCGGCAAGAAGGUCUUCAACGACGAGGCCAUCCAAGGCGAAUCACACUAGAGUACAUGAGCAUCACACAAGAGUUUAUGAACACAAGCAUCACGCAAUGAGGUUGAGCUUUUUAGGACAGCCAUUGUUACCAUCGACAAGCACCUUCUCAGACUUGAGUGGCAGACGGAAGCAUGGUCAUGCUUGUGUUCUCUUAUUGCCAGCACCAUCCGGGACAAAAUGUUAUUCUUGUGUUUGA